UACGUAGGGUGCGAGCGUUGUCCGGAAUUAUUGGGCGUAAAGGGCCCGUAGGCGGUCUGUCGCGUCGGGAGUGAAAACUCAGGGCUUAACCCUGAGCCUGCUUCCGAUACGGGCAGACUAGAGGUAUGCAGGGGAGAACGGAAUUCCUGGUGUAGCGGUGAAAUGCGCAGAUAUCAGGAGGAACACCGGUGGCGAAGGCGGUUCUCUGGGCAUUACCUGACGCUGAGGAGCGAAAGUGUGGGGAGCGAACAGG
RNAcentral lists this ribosomal RNA (253 nucleotides) under uncultured bacterium. RNAcentral's name for it is "partial 16S ribosomal RNA". It matches the Rfam family "Bacterial small subunit ribosomal RNA", at positions 524 to 776 of the family's 1533-position model. The record is from RNAcentral.